RNAcentral lists this ribosomal RNA (468 nucleotides) under uncultured bacterium. RNAcentral describes it as "partial 16S ribosomal RNA". The stretch from base 20 to 332 matches the Rfam family "Bacterial small subunit ribosomal RNA", at positions 47 to 358 of the family's 1533-position model. The record is from RNAcentral.
GACGAACGCUGGCGGCGUGCUUAACACAUGCAAGUCGAACGGAAAGGCCCUGCUUUUGUGGGGUGCUCGAGUGGCGAACGGGUGAGUAACACGUGAGUAACCUGCCCUUGACUUUGGGAUAACUUCAGGAAACUGGGGCUAAUACCGGAUAGGAGCUCCUGCUGCAUGGUGGGGGUUGGAAAGUUUCGGCGGUUGGGGAUGGACUCGCGGCUUAUCAGCUUGUUGGUGGGGUAGUGGCUUACCAAGGCUUUGACGGGUAGCCGGCCUGAGAGGGUGACCGGACACGUGGGGAGAGAGGUACAGUGGGAAGACCUAUGGGAGGGAGCAGUGGGGGAGAGGGUGAAAGGGGUGGAGUCAGAAACGAGUAACGACGGGUGCGAGAGGAGGGUAAUCGGGUUGUAAAAAGAUCCCGCUGGGGACGAAGCGCGAGGGGCGGGAAUGGGGAGAGAAGCAGCGGCUAACGACGCU